ACCAAGCGACGCCGAUAGGUUGCUUCCGAAUCGCCGCCACCGUCCAAUCCACCACCGCAGCCGUGCGCCGUCACCGGCCUUGUGUAACACCCGUAAAAUUUACUGACUCAAAUUACCCGCUAAAAAUUUGUUUCAAAAUCUCCCAACCCUUGAGCUCCCGAAAAAUCUUUUUCCAUUCCUCGCAAAUUUCGCCACGUGCACAUCAAGUAAAUCGCGCGUGCCCGACCAAUUCCGCAAUUUUCACCGAUUUUUCCCCUCCCCUUUUCCUUUUCCUCUUUCCCUCCCCUUUUUCCCCUUUUCCUUUUCUCCCUUCCUCCCUUCUCCUUCUUCCUUCUUCCUCCUUUCUCCUUCUCUCUUCCCUUCUUGGCG
RNAcentral lists this long non-coding RNA (369 nucleotides) under Setaria viridis. RNAcentral describes it as "long non-coding RNA (SVIR_LNC008126)". Lineage: Eukaryota; Viridiplantae; Streptophyta; Magnoliopsida; Poales; Poaceae. The record is from RNAcentral.